AAAACAAAACACAAGGAAGGAAUUAUGAAAGCAACAAAAAGAAAGGGAAAAAAAGUCCUUAACCUACAGGGGAAGACAGAUUAGGUUUGCAGCAGGACUAUUCACAG
This is a long non-coding RNA of Lynx canadensis (Canada lynx), 107 nucleotides long. RefSeq lists it as uncharacterized. The record is from RefSeq and is a predicted model, not a curated record. The transcript has 3 exons. Lineage: Eukaryota; Metazoa; Chordata; Mammalia; Carnivora; Felidae.